AACUCAAGGAGCUCCUGAGCUCAGGAACAGCUGACAGCCGCCGCCGGACGGCUCCCGGGGUGGCACCUGGGGAAGGGGUGGAUGGGCAAUGCCUUGCCAGCUUGCUCUGGGGCACCCUGUCCCUAGCUGCUAUGAGUCAUCUGAAGGGUCAUUACCUCAGGAGAGAGCUGGCCUUGUCUCCAGGGACAUCACCCUGAAAUCAGCGGUCGUUGCCAUAUGUUCCUCCAACGGUGAUGGGUUGACACACAGAUGAACCAUUGGUGCCGGAUGUUGGAGAUUUGGAAAUGCCUCCAGCACCUGACCUGACAGCACACCCUAGUGUGCUUCUUCUCAUGACUGCAUUCUUUCUCGGCCCUGCAUCCCACUGCCACUGCCCAGCAGAUGGAGUGGAUGUGAAUCAGCUUCCCAUUGCUUCAUGUGGUGGUUUCACUGAAACCUUGGCCUGGGUGCUUUGGAACCCGUGGUUAGCCCUUGAAGCCGUUAAGCCAGAACUCAAACCCAAUGCUGUUUAAAUCCACAGAAGUCAGAGGAGUCACCCGCCACUGUGCCAAUGCCACUGGACUGAAGCCUCGUGACCAGACUUGGAUUCACGCAGCACAGCAGCUUUUCAGUGACUUGGGGAAAUUUAUUGGGGAACAAUGCAGUGGGCUUUUGUUCUUCUACAGUCUCCUUUGGAAACUCCCUCUUUCAAGCCAGGAGGGUGAAAGACGAAGUUGUGUAUCCUUCACGGGGAAAAUACGGAUUCCUCUAACGGCAAAUUCCAAAUCCAAGCAGACCAGGUUAUUGCCAUAGCCAAGGAACCUUGGCCUUAGCUCACACUGGGAAAUACACUGUUUAAGGUGAGAACACGAACUGAACAGGGCAUGCUGGAGAUGUGAGUUUUCUUUGCCUUGACGAGAAGCUUUCGGAUCGAUUAGGGAGACGGAGCUCAGCGUUUCUGUUUUUGUUUUUGUUUUUUUCCCCAUGUAACAGGCAAACAUCCCCACUAAAAGCCCAGCCAGGGCUUAUAAGACUCACUCCACAGCCCAGACAGCUAUGAGAUUCUCAAAUGAAUUAGGUUCUAGAGCCCAUGAUGUGAGCAAAACCUGACCCGAAAUGCCUGCAAACUAUCUAUAGAUUGUGUUUUCUCACUUAUCACACAUAUUCACAUUUCACUGUGCAGAUACUUACCUGUGAGUUUGGGGAAGGAACUACCCGGUCAUGGCAUUCAUACCUCAUUAUCUUUUAUUAAAGGGCAAAAUUUGAGGAUACACUUGUCCAGAGAGUUUGGAGAAGGGAUUGUAGACCUGAGACACAUUAAAACAUAUUUUUCCCCUGC
This is a long non-coding RNA of Peromyscus leucopus (white-footed mouse), 1318 nucleotides long. RefSeq lists it as uncharacterized. The transcript has 4 exons. The record is from RefSeq and is a predicted model, not a curated record. NCBI's taxonomy places the organism in Eukaryota, Metazoa, Chordata, Mammalia, Rodentia, Cricetidae.